This is a long non-coding RNA of Dendroctonus ponderosae (mountain pine beetle), 1447 nucleotides long. RefSeq lists it as uncharacterized. The transcript is spliced from 2 exons. The record is from RefSeq and is a predicted model, not a curated record. NCBI's taxonomy places the organism in Eukaryota, Metazoa, Arthropoda, Insecta, Coleoptera, Curculionidae.
GCCGGCAAUGACGUAUGCCUCCACAGUGUGGGGGUAUGCGGCAGAAACCUACCUGUUACAUCUUCAGGCCACAGAAAAUAAACUUCUGGGGAUGGCCAUAGAUGCUCCCUGGUUUGAACGUAAUAGUCAAAUUUACAGGGACCUGGAGUGGGAGCCACUGAGACUUUCUGCAGCGGAGAGCUGCCCGGACCUUUGAAAAGGCCGAAAACCACCCCUUUGUUGAGCUACGAAAUGCCGUAGAUUACUCACCAGAGGAUUAUGGGCCGAGGCACCAGAUGGCCCAACAGGGCAAUAGGUAAAGCAGUUGACUGCAAAGCGCUGUAAGUGUGAAACCCAGUUAAAAUAGUGUGAUAGAAGUAGUGUUGUGUAGUGCUUGUGUUAAAUACGCUCCAUAAGUGGUAACGUCACAAAUUAGACAUAUUCAGAGACUGUAUCUAAGCAAAGCAAAUUUGCAUUUGAGUUAAAUACAAAGUUUCCAAAGUGUGCUGAUUAUCUUAGCAGUGAAGAAAAAGAAGCAUUCUAAGGUAUGUAUUUGCAUUUAGGAGUGUUUUAGUAACGAUUCGACAUUGAAAUCAUAGCGUAAUUAUUAGCGGUUUUCUUUAUUUUCGACGAAAAUGUCUUGGUAACCUCAAACUUGAUGUAAACGGAUAGCAGACUUCGUAGUUUAUUAGUAACUGUGUUAAAACCUGUUAUUUGUAUUAGAAUAAUGGUUAUGUGUUGGGCUCCUGAAUAUAAAAAUUAUGAUGAUCGUGAAAAUGUUUGUUUUUCCGGUUUCCAAAACACCCACCCACACGAAAUCGAUGGAUAAAGUUGGUACGGGUAGUAAAUCUUAUAUUGUUAUUUGUAAACCGAAUGUUAUGCUUGAAAAUGAUUUAUAGGAGAACUCUAUAGAGCCCGGUCCUGGUGCCCUUGUAUGCAGUAGUCAUUUUCUUGAUGGGAAUAAUUAAAAUGGCCCUAUACAGCUCUUGGCCUUAUUACAGUGCCUUGUCGCAAAAUAGUUAAAGUAUCGGGUCCCGAAAAAUGAGCAGAAGGAAAAUAUCUGCCGUAGUAGAAACACCAAGCGACCAUUUGAGCACAAAACCUGAAACUGAGCCACAACCUUCGACUUCGACUGAAGGUAUUCCUGAAACCUUUAUGUCUACAGCACGGAUUUAUGCUGAAAAUUAUUUUCGCCAACAACUACAGGAAGCUUUAAUGGGACUUUACAAUUUAUCUGAACGUUUAUCAAUUGAAAGUAUAAAACAAAAUGACAUCUUAUUAUUUAUGUAUUUUUCUACUUAUGCUAUAUUUGAAUGUUUGUUUGCAUUACUCAAAGAUAUAAGUAGUUUGUUAUUAUGACUGAAAAGUUGAAAAACUUAGUAAGCAAGAUCAGUUACUCAUAACUCUCAUGAAACUGUAGCUGUUAGGCUGAAUGUUUCGCAGUCUAAAAUAUACAGAAUUACAGUAA